AUCUUCCUUUCACUGACUCAGCUGACAGCCUCAGGCACACUCAGCUUGCCAUUCUCUCUCUCUCUCUCUCUCAUCAUGUAGCAGCAGAGAGAGAGAGCUUGAAGAAAGAAACAUGGUGUCGUCGUCUCAGAAGAAGAGCCUCCACUCUCUGCUGGCCGCAAAGCUCAGCAACCUCACAAUCCCGCCUUCCUCGUCUUCUUCCUCCUCCUCUCCACCUCCAGACUUCGACUUUAACGACCUCUUCGGCCCCACCACUGCCAUCCCCAACGACCAAUCAACCUCCGCCACGUCGCUCCCUCCGGCUCCACUGGUCAUCCACAACCGUUCUCACUCCUUCGUGGGCCCCUCCCCGCGCUUCGCUCCGUCUUCCUCCCUCCCUUUCACCGCCGAAUUCCUCGAUUCCCAGAGCGACGAAGACGAAUCCGAAAACCCGGACGGAACUGAUAAUCGGAAUGAUGGGGAAUCAGAAAAGACCGAGCUCGCAGUCAAAGAGAGAGCUCGUAAGUUUGGGCCUGCGGAUUUUGAGAUGCUCAGAGUUGUGGGUAAGGGCGCGUUUGGGAAGGUCUUUCAAGUGAGAAAGAAGUGCAACGAUGGCAGUAACGGCAACGAAAGUGAUGGGCUUUAUGCUAUGAAGGUUAUGAGGAAAGACACAAUUAUAAAGAAGAACCAUGUGGAUUAUAUGAAAGCUGAGAGAGACAUCCUCACCAAGGUUGUGCACCCUUUCAUUGUUCAGCUUCGCUACUCUUUCCAGACCAACUCUAAGCUUUAUUUGAUCAUGGAUUUUAUAAAUGGAGGGCAUCUCUUCUUUCACUUGUACCGGCAGGGAAUCUUUAGCGAGGAUCAAGCAAGACUUUAUACUGCUGAGAUAGUAUCUGCUGUUGCACAUCUUCACAAGUGCGGGAUCGUGCAUCGGGACCUUAAACCUGAAAAUGUUCUUGUGGAUUCUGACGGGCAUGUCAUGCUAACUGAUUUUGGACUAGCAAAGGAAAUUGAUGAAGCCAGCAGAUCAAAUUCAAUGUGUGGGACCACAGAAUACAUGGCUCCUGAAAUAUUGCUGUCUAAAGGCCAUAACAAAGAUGCAGAUUGGUGGAGCAUUGGUAUACUUUUGUAUGAGAUGCUAAGUGGGCAGCCACCAUUUACGCAUGCGAAUAGAAAGAAACUCCAGGAGAGAAUCAUCAAAGAGAAAGUUAAACUUCCACCUUAUCUUACCAGCGAAGCUCACUCCUUGCUAAGAGGAUUGCUACAAAAGGAUCCGUUACAAAGAUUGGGUAGUGGGCCCAAUGGAGGUGAUAAUAUCAAAAGUCAUAAAUGGUUUCGAUCAAUCAACUGGAAGAAGUUGGAGGCCAGAGAACUGCUCCCAAAGUUCAAGCCGGAUGUGAGUGGAAAAGACUGCACGGCCAACUUCGAUCGGUGCUGGACUACAAUGCCUCUGGACGACUCACCAGCUCCUACACCAACAGCGGGUGUGCAUUUCCAGGGAUAUACUUACGUGGCACCUAACCCGUGGCUUUCGUCUGCAUAAACUGAAGGCUGCUGCUAGACUAGAGUGUUAAAGGAAAAAAGAAAGAGAACUAAAUGAAGUGAAGACGAUUUGAAUGAAGCCCCCCUUCCAAAUUGCCGUUCAAGUAAUGAUAAUUUCACCCCAACUUUUUCUUGGGCAAAAAGGAGCAUGCAGUAUUAAGGGUCGUUCGGAACUACUUCUUUAGAAAAGCAUUUAUGCUAGUUUUCUGGUAAGAGCAUUGAAACUUCUAUAUUGUAAAUUCAAGGGCUUUUAGAGAAAGCAAGGGCUUCCCAAAAACACUA
Molecule: non-coding RNA, 1803 nt
Organism: Prunus mume (Japanese apricot)
Lineage: Eukaryota; Viridiplantae; Streptophyta; Magnoliopsida; Rosales; Rosaceae
Source: RefSeq, a predicted model, not a curated record